UUGCGCAAGUAAUGAUUUAUUGAGCAAUAUUAGCAAUCAUCUGCCGCGUGGUCGGGUUUAUUAUUUUUCACAGCUGGGCACUUCUAAAAACCUGAGUGAUUUUUAGAGCUGCUCCCAAUCACUGCCCGGACCCAGCGUCCACAGCCGCUCGUCGAAUCAGAUGAGCGGCGGCCCGCCACCCAACAGGGUGGACCCGGCCCCCGGGCUGCAUACUGUCCAGAAGACGGUAUGAAGUGAGCCGGCGCCACAAGCGUCGAGCCAGGACGACGUAUCCCAAGGGGGCCAUCUGGCCCCCU
RNAcentral lists this small RNA (296 nucleotides) under Pseudomonas sp. StFLB209. Its description in RNAcentral is "Pseudomonas sRNA P24". It matches the Rfam family "Pseudomonas sRNA P24". Rfam says of the family: P24 is conserved across several Pseudomonas species and in Azotobacter vinelandii. It appears to be consistently located between a hypothetical protein gene and a transcriptional regulator gene (AsnC family) in the genomes of all these species. The record is from Rfam by way of RNAcentral. Lineage: Bacteria; Pseudomonadati; Pseudomonadota; Gammaproteobacteria; Pseudomonadales; Pseudomonadaceae.